RNAcentral lists this ribosomal RNA (500 nucleotides) under uncultured bacterium. RNAcentral describes it as "partial 16S ribosomal RNA". It matches the Rfam family "Bacterial small subunit ribosomal RNA", at positions 30 to 523 of the family's 1533-position model. The record is from RNAcentral.
AUUGAACGCUGGCGGCAUGCCUUACACAUGCAAGUCGAACGGCAGCACGGGAGCAAUCCUGGUGGCGAGUGGCGAACGGGUGAGUAAUGUAUCGGAACGUGCCCAGUCGUGGGGGAUAACGUAGCGAAAGUUACGCUAAUACCGCAUACGAUCUAUGGAUGAAAGCAGGGGAGCGCAAGACCUCGCGCGAUUGGAUCCGCAGAUAUCAGAUUAGGUAGUUGGUGGGGUAAAAGCUUACCAAGCCUACGAUCUGUAGCUGGUCUGAGAGGACGACCAGCCACACUGGGACUGAGACACGGCCCAGACUCCUACGGGAGGCAGCAGUGGGGAAUUUUGGACAAUGGGCGAAAGCCUGAUCCAGCCAUGCCGCGUGCAGGAUGAAGGCCUUCGGGUUGUAAACUGCUUUUGUACGGAACGAAACGGCCUUUUCUAAUACAGGAGGCUAAUGACGGUACCGUAAGAAUAAGCACCGGCUAACUACGUGCCAGCAGCCGCCGUAA